Long non-coding RNA from Pan troglodytes (chimpanzee), 2456 nucleotides. RefSeq lists it as uncharacterized. The record is from RefSeq and is a predicted model, not a curated record. NCBI's taxonomy places the organism in Eukaryota, Metazoa, Chordata, Mammalia, Primates, Hominidae. The transcript has 3 exons.
CCUCAGAAUUUACACUCUCUCUCCUUUUGUGCCCCCAUGGACCAAGUUAAGAAGGUGUAGGCUUCAAAUCUGAAGAUUGGUCACCACAAAAUUCAAAGGGAAAACCUUUUAGGCCAAAGACCAUUGGAAGUGGCCCUGGUUCCUCCAUGUUUAACUCACUGGCCCCUAAUUUCUGCUGGACCUUCAUUUCAGUCGACUGUGUUUCAGGAGAUUCGGGCCGCAACACCCCUGAGUUUACCGGUUUUGGUCUCUUCCUUGUGACCUUCGGCUCCAGGAUGCAGCACAGCUCCUCACUGCACUAUUUAUCAGAAUGUUGCUCUGCAUGCUUGAAAGUUUCCCCAAACAGAGGUACAUAAAAACAAACAGAGGCGAAACACAAAUCCCAUCAGCCCUGGAGGAAAAGGCCUUGAAGCUCUUCCAGUGCAGAGGCCACGCAGAGGACAGGCUCCUACCUGUGCCCAUCAGCCACGCCUGGGGCGCCUCCUGGAGUCCAGGCUGCUGGCAAUGGAAUUCAUCAUGUUGCUGAUGUCACUGUAAGUUAAGUCGCAGCUGCCAGCUGAGCUAUGGGACAGUUUGAGGGAUGGCCAGAAGGUUUCUCCUGGAUGCCAUCUUCAGCAUACCUAGGAACCAGAGAAAAUGCAAUUCUUCGCAUGCCCAUCUCACUCCUGCAGCCUGGGGUCCCUCUUCAGUUUAUUUUUUUCUUUUUUCUUUUUUUUUUAAUCAUAAGCACAUAGUCAGGCUCUGGGACAUCAUGGAACCCAGCAGCCUGCUGAAAGGUGAAGCACAAGUCUAAAGUCCUGUUAGUUAUGAAAUCCAGCUCUCCUGGAUUAGGCAAGGGGAAAACCACAUCUUUAAGAUAUACUAGGGCAAGAAGUAAAGUAUAGAGAGCUGGCUCGACGAAAUUUUGUGUAUAAUAGGAGCCGUCCUAUGACUAAUAGUCACCUGUCUCAGAGACCUCAUGAUUAUUUCUGAGCUUUAACCAAUGAAUUAAUGUGGGUUCUAUCUGGCUCUUCUAACGUCUUUGGAAUGGUUCCUCAGGGAACCACAGCUAUCCGUAGAGAUAACAACCUGAAUACAAGCCCAUCGCCCGAUCAGAUGCUGCUCUUACUUGCAUGACUUGGUUCUAUUCUUGCCCAGUCCCACUGGGAUAGCAGUGGUAGCUAAACAGCUAAGCAGAGUGACCUCAUUAGAUUCUCCUCUAGUAUAAAGUCACAUGUUAACUCAUUUUUGGACUCAUAGUCAGAAACUUGUAAUUUUUCCUCAUUUUGGUAUGCAGCUAUUGCACAGUGGGGGAAAUAUGAGUCAAAAGACUUGCUCUUAUAUUCCAUCUUCCCCCUCAUUGCCUGGGUGUCUUUGGACCAGUUAAUCUUUGAGCCUCAGUUAUCUAGAAAAUGGGGACACUGCUACUUUAUAUUUUUUUUUUUUAGUGGGACCUAGAUAAGGUAAUAUGAAUAAAGGGGCUUUGUUUAUAUAUUGAAUGGCAUGAUGUUACGAUUACUAAAAGGAAAUAGCUAUUCUACUUACAUUACAAUGUGGUUUGAGGAUCAAAUUCAAUAAAAUAUGUGAAGAGGGCUUUGAAAAGUAGAAAGAGCUAAGCAAUGCAAAAUGCGUCGCUGCACUUGAAUGUAAUGGCUGGUGUCAUGUCAGCUGGAUUAACUGUGGUCACUAGUUCUCAUAUACCCAUUUGCUAGAGUAGCUGAGUCCUCUGGUCUACGAAAAAGGGCACAGAAGCUACAGAUACGAGAUCUGGUACUAUCUUUAUCACUACCUUUUUAUUGUGAGCACCUCAAUCAUUUUGAGAUAUUUGUCUCAUUUCUUUUACUUUGAAUAUGCAAAAACAACAGUCACCUCCUAAUGUGGCUGUUGGGAAAACACAACUGAAAUGGAUUCAGAAAAUAGCUUUUAAGGACAAAGUUAUGUGAAGGACAUAAAUUGUGCAUGAAGUCUUUCAGCAAUGAAUAGGCACAUCUCCACAUACCCCAGGAUCUUAAGCUGAUAAUGUAACAACAAGAACCUAUUGAAUCAGGACAAGGUGAUGGUUCUGCUCCUGUGGCAAUCUAGGUCUCAGAAUCUGGUAUGCAGGCAGGGUGUAGAGAGCAGAUUGCAUUUUCAGGAGAAAGGUUAAGCUUGAAUGUUUUGGACAGGAGGUGGUUAGAUGCAUUUUUAAAAAGUCCUUGAAUUUACCUGAUGAUUUUUGUGUCCUUGUGAUGGUUGUAGCCCAUUCCAGGAUAUGAAUAAAUUUAGCAACACAAAGGAGGUCAUUUAAAAAUCUUUCCCUCAGAUGCUCCACUUCCUCUUCCUUCUAGCUUUCUCCUCUUCUUCACUAAUUUGGCAACCUGCGAGGCUGCCCUUUUGAUCACUGGCAGUUUAGAAUAGUGAUAAGUGGUUUUGGAAAAUGUUAUUGAAACUUUUAUAGGAGAGUGGUGGAAGGAUGGAGAUUUCUAGAAAACCCUUAA